Long non-coding RNA from Gallus gallus (chicken), 452 nucleotides. RefSeq lists it as uncharacterized. The record is from RefSeq and is a predicted model, not a curated record. The transcript is spliced from 2 exons. Lineage: Eukaryota; Metazoa; Chordata; Aves; Galliformes; Phasianidae.
GGGGAUGCAGGAGCGAUGGCUCUGUCACUCUGCAGCCGUGCAGGCACGUGUGGCUUUUGCAAGGCAGCCCAGUGAGGCUCAGCAGAAACCAGAUGUGGGGCAUAAACUGCUCAGCAGCAUCCCUGACACUAGCACUUUGUUUCUGUGCAGGUGCUUUGCAGCUUGUCCCUGUGAGGAGAUCUGAAGCUGCAGAGCCCUUUGCUUGAGAUAUUUCCCUGGCUUCAGGACAGAGACCAGGCAGAAAGGCCGUUCCUGAGAACAGAGGAGCAGAGCCACGGCUGGGGCUGGAAUUGUGCCUGGUCAGGAAGCGCCUGGCCGCAGGGCAGAGCUGGGCUGGCAGAUGAGCACAGCCUUAGAUGGCAAGCAGCUCUGCACAGCCAGGCCCUUUUCAUCUCUCUGAAGUGCCUUAUAUAGUGCACCCAGAACUUAUAAAUAAAUGCUUUUUGUCAUGA